AAUCUUUCUGAAAGGCCAAUUUAUAAAUGCAGACUAGACUUUCGAGCUAACACUUUGUAACUUGUUACCAAGUAAUUUUUCGUGAUUUACUCAAUUAAUGUCCUUAAAUAUUGAGCUCAUAUACGGAGAAGAGUAAAUUAUGGAGCAUGAAGUUGUGAAGACGGCAAAACCAGAAUACCACAAAAAAUUUGGAAAUGAAAACCUGCCAAUAGAACUUAGAAAGGAAGACCAAGAAAGAGUUGGGAAAAGGCAAUAAAAGAAGCUAUGCAGAAGAAGCUUUGAAAAUUGGGAUGCGGUAGAUGGAAAGCUGUAUACUGCUUACGAGAUAUCUAUUCUAUAAAGCCUUGAUAGAAAC
Molecule: long non-coding RNA, 355 nt
Organism: Dendroctonus ponderosae (mountain pine beetle)
Lineage: Eukaryota; Metazoa; Arthropoda; Insecta; Coleoptera; Curculionidae
Exons: 2
Source: RefSeq, a predicted model, not a curated record